RNAcentral lists this ribosomal RNA (235 nucleotides) under uncultured bacterium. RNAcentral's name for it is "partial 16S ribosomal RNA". It matches the Rfam family "Bacterial small subunit ribosomal RNA", at positions 99 to 334 of the family's 1533-position model. The record is from RNAcentral.
CGCACGGGUGAGUAACACGUAUCCAACCUGCCGUCUACUCUUGGACAGCCUUCUGAAAGGAAGAUUAAUACAAGAUGGCAUCAUGAGUCCGCAUGUUCACAUGAUUAAAGGUAUUCCGGUAGACGAUGGGGAUGCGUUCCAUUAGAUAGUAGGCGGGGUAACGGCCCACCUAGUCUUCGAUGGAUAGGGGUUCUGAGAGGAGGGUCCCCCACAUUGGAACUGAGACACGGUCCAA